RNAcentral lists this ribosomal RNA (253 nucleotides) under uncultured bacterium. Its description in RNAcentral is "partial 16S ribosomal RNA". It matches the Rfam family "Bacterial small subunit ribosomal RNA", at positions 524 to 776 of the family's 1533-position model. The record is from RNAcentral.
UACGUAGGGUGCGAGCGUUAAUCGGAAUUACUGGGCGUAAAGCGUGCGUAGGCGGUUCGUUAUGUCUGAUGUGAAAUGCCCGGGCUUAACCUGGGAACUGCAUUUGUGACUGCAUGGCUAGAAUCUGGCAGAGGGGGGUAGAAUUCCACGUGUAGCAGUGAAAUGCGUAGAUAUGUGGAGGAACACCGAUGGCGAAGGCAGCCCCCUGGGUCAAGAUUGGCGCUCAUGCACGAAAGCGUGGGGAGCAAACAGG